This is a long non-coding RNA of Homo sapiens (human), 3498 nucleotides long. NCBI's taxonomy places the organism in Eukaryota, Metazoa, Chordata, Mammalia, Primates, Hominidae. The record is from Ensembl.
GAGGAUUUAAUUCUGUAAAAGCAGUCUUCUCUGCAAAAUGGGAAUAGAACUGUCUAACUCACAUGGUUAUUGUUGGUGCUAGAACAACACCAACAACAUUACAUCCUGAGUCCCAGAACAUAAAUGCUACCCCGAAUGAACUUUUAUAGACUGUUUAUAGUCCAUGUGAUGACAUAAUAGAUGAUCUCCCUACCUGAUGUGACUGGAAUGGUAUGGAGACAGCCACUCUGCAAUGUUGACUCAAAGAUCCACUACAUUAUAAUGCUCCAAGAAGAUAAGGAACACAUGUAUUUUGUCUACUUCUGAAUAUCCAAGAUUUUACCGGGUACCUGACAUACAUGUGACAACGAAUUACAGGUGGAACAACACAUAGAACUGACUGUUUUUUUCACUAUUUCACAGAACUGGGAUGGCCGAGGAUUUGAUAAUGGGAUGUGAAUCAUCCCUUUGUCCAGCGUGUUCAUGAUGUCUAUGUUACCUGUCCAUUAGUCACUUCAUCGUUGUCCGGGUUGUCAGACUGAUUUCACCUUAUUGUAGUGAUUGUGAUUCUGUGGAGAAAGACUCUUAUUGGACAGCUCUCCUUUUUGAGCAAGGUUUUCAAUCUAUAAACUGGCUGCCAGUGGAUGAAGUACCCUGUCCCUCUCCCUGUCCAAUGUGUGAGGCCAGAGGUGAAGCAGGAUCUUCUGUAUUGUACAUGGUGCUAAAGACUACUCACUAGUAGGUAUUGUGUUGUGAGCUAAGUGACUCUCUAUAUGAUACUUUUGAACAUUUAUGGAAAAAUAAGGAAUAUAGUGAUGCUGGUUGGUUGCUCCUAAUGUUACUGGAUAUGUGGUGGAAAAAAAAGAAAUGAGUUCAGUUCAGGGAGUUGAAUUCCCAGGUGAAGAAUCACAAAUGACCUAAGAGCUUCCAGGUGUGCCCUGAAGGACAACCUUAUCUCCAAUAGUUACAGGGCUGAAAAUGCUGAAAGCUGAAUGCAGAACCUCAUCUGAUGAUUGGCUAAAUUACAGCACAAGUUGAAAUCCCAGCUUCCCAGGGUGUCUACUGUUAAAGUGAGGGCAUUGAUUGCGAAAGAAUGGGAUCCAUAAUUUGAGAUGGGGCCAUGUGGGAAGACCCUGAUGAACCUGGAGUUACUGAGCCCCUAAAUUCUGAUGAACCUUCUUUGCCAGAGGGAGAUGUCUCCCCAGCCCCAGUAGAAGAGGCCUCCCCAGCCCUACUGACAGCAGCCUCCCCAGUGUCAGAGGUAUUGGCCUGUCCACCUCUGUCUGAGGGGUUUAACCCUGCAUUGCUUGAGAAAAUGGUAAGGGCCUCCCCUGAGAGAACUGCCAUGCAAGACAAUUCUGAUUCUCCGCAGGACUCACCAUGACCACUCCUCUUUGCUUCUAGACCUAUGACUGGACUCAAGUCCCAGCAGGGCCCUAAAGGUGAGGUACAAAGUAUGACCCAUAACAGGGCGCACUGAAUUCCAAAACAACUACUUGAGGUUAUUAGUUCAUACAAGCAGAAAUCCAGGAAACAUGUAUGGGAAUUAUGGAUGUGGAACAUAUGUGGGAAUUAAGGGUGUGGAAAAAUGGUAGAAGGAACAUAAAAUUGGAUCAGGCUGAAUUUAUUGAUAUGGGCUCAGUAAGCAGAGAUUCUGCAUUCAAUAUUGUGGCUUGGCAGAAAGGGCUCUAACUGGUAGGGUGAAGCAAAGAUGAAAAGAUGGUCCACCAUAAAUGAAUUGGAAAUGCCUGACCUCCCUUAGUUUAAUAGAGAGGAAGAAAUUCAAAGGCUUAAGGAGAUUGGAAGAUUGGAGUGGAUUUGUCAUUUACCUUACUCACCUAUGCUGAAAGGGUCCAGAAGACAUACCUUUCACCAAUACUUUGAGAAAUACUUUGAAUAAAUAAAUAAAUAAAUGUUGAGGAGAUACCCAGCAUCUUUGUCAAGCUUUGUGGUUGCUCUUUUUUGUAGGCUCCACCUCACAAUAGGAACCACAGUCAUUCGACUGGAAAACCUAAAUGCAAUGGGAUUUUCUAGAUCCCAUUUUUUUUCUCCAGUUCUGGAAUGCAUAAUUAAAAUAGACAUAUUUAGCAGGCAGAAGUCCUCUAUUCAUCCCCUGACCUGUGAAGUGAGGGCUAUUAUGAUAGAAAAAGCCAAAUGGAAGUCAUUAGAACUACCUCUACUUAGAAAAAUAACAAAUCAGAAGCAAUUCUAGAUCCCAGAAUAUGGCAGGAAUCAAGUGAUGGUAGUGGCACUUAACCACCAAAGGCAAAGUGGGCAUGGUUAUUAUAAUGAACAGCAGAGUCAAAGCAGCAACCAGAAUAGUCUGACUCCAGGAGACGUAUGGUGUUGGCUAGUUAAUCAUGAUGUUUCUCAAAGUGAAAUAGAUAGGAAGCCUACCAAAUUCUUAAUUGAUCUGUAUAAGCAGAACAUUUCUAGGCCAAAAAACAAAAGUCUAACUCAAAUCAUAAAAACAGAGAGAUGUGGCCCCUCAAUCAAUUCCCAGAUGAGCCAGUUUACAGACCUGGAACCUUAUGAGUGAAGGGGAUGUUAGGACCCCUGGAAGAACCACAGCAUAAUACUAAAAAUUUAUACUGUUAAAUCUUUCUCCUAUCCUUCUUCAAAGGGACCUAUGGCCUUUUACAAGGAUAACUGUACACUGGGGAAAAGCAAAUAAUCAGACCUUUUGGGUCUACUGGACGCUGGAUUUGUCUAUCCACUGAUUACAGGAGACCUAAAACAUCACAGUGGUCUUCUCAUUAGAGUAGGGGCUUGUGGAAGUCAGAUGAUCAAUAAAGUUUUAGCUCAGAUUUGUCUCACAGUGAGUCCAAUGGGUCCUUGAACCUAUCCUGUGUUUUUCUUUUUCUCCAGUUCUGGAAUGCAUAAUUAAAAUAGACAUAUUUAGUAGCAGGCAGAAUUCCUCCAUUCAGUCUCUGACCUGUGAAGUGAGGGCUAUUAUGAUAGAAAAGGCCAAAUUGAAGUCAUUAGAACUACCUCUACUUAGAAAAAUAGCAAAUCAGAAGCAAUUCUACAUGCAGAAAUUAGUGCUACUCUCAGAAACUUAAAAGAUGCAGGCAUGGUGAUUUCCACCAUAUCUCCAUUCAACUAUCCUGUUUGGCCCAUGAUAGACAGGUCUUGGAGAAAGACAGUGGAUUAUCAUAAACCUAACCAAGUGGUGACUCCAAUUGCAGAUUCUGUACCAGAUAUGGUUCCAUUUAUUGAGAAAAUCAACUAUCUCCUGGCACUGAUAUGCAGCUAUUGAUCUGGGAAAUGGCUUUUUCAUCAUCCCUGUCCAUGGGAACUAGCAGAAGGGACCAGAAAAGCAGUUUGCUUUUAGUUGGCAAGGCCAGCAACAUACUUUCACUCUCCUACCUCAAGGGUAUGUCAACUCUACAGUUCUAUGUCAUAAUUUAGUUUUCAUGGAUCUUGAUCACCUUUCUCUCCCACAAGAUAUCACACUGGCCCAUUACAUUAAUCACAUUUUGCUGAUUGGACCUGGUGAAUGAGAAUUAGCAACCACUC